GUCUUAUGGAAGCUCAUCAUGACUAAGACUUGAUAAGCAACUACACAGAGAGGUCCUUAAAGCCCCUGGGUCCGUUCUGUCCCAGAGUAAACUGCUUAAUUACCACUGAAAUUUCGCUAAUGUUAAACUGUAUUGGUCCUUCUAGUAAUUUUUGUACCUGUCAGUGUCAUUGAGCAACUGCUUUUUGAUGCUCUCUGAAAGUAAACUUUCUUACUUUGUAUUUCUGUGUGUUUGACCUGGACACUCUGCCAAUAUUAUCAUAUGGCUGCAGUGUGGGCAAGUCAGUUACUGGAGGCUUUGUCUACAGGGGAUGUGAAUCACCCAACUUGAAUGUCCUUUAUAUUUUUGGUGAUUUCCUGGGCAGGAAGAUAAGAAGACAAAUAAAUGGAAGAAACAGGAUAUCUCUGUUGGCAGUACAACAUCUUGUGCUUUCCGUGGAAUGAUCAGCUCCUACAGCAAAUUCAUCAUCUCCUUUGCUGAGGAUGAAGCAGGUGAACUGUAUUUUAUGUCUACUUCUUAUCCCAGUGCCUAUACACCAUGUGGAUUGCUCUACAAGCUCAUCGAUCCUGCAAGGUUUGUAAUUAAAGAUGUAUUUCCAUGCCAAAUUCUUCUAUAGUUACCACUCUCCAG
This 630-nucleotide long non-coding RNA is filed under the name Zonotrichia albicollis (white-throated sparrow). RNAcentral describes it as "lncRNA (ENSZALG00000007605.1)". The record is from RNAcentral. Lineage: Eukaryota; Metazoa; Chordata; Aves; Passeriformes; Passerellidae.